UUGCUUGCUUUGGCUCCGGUCAGGGUGGCGGCAGCGGAACUACCCCGUGCAUCAAACUGUCCGCUCUAACAGGCCGAAGCGGUUCCCUGUGAGUAGACUCCUUAAUUGGGGUUGAAAGCGCCUACGCAUCAACCACAUGCAUACGGGACGUCGGCCAAUGUUACUGAGAACAAACCAGCGUGUCCAAAGCAGGCUUGCCUGAAUGUUCGAGCACGGAAUAACAAGGGAUCGAUUCUCUCGGUUCUUUUUGUUGGUUUUUAACCCGAGAAGGAGUAAUGCAGGCCACGGUGUCUGAGGUGGGCUUCCCUAGGCUUCGGUUUAGGCCCCAUCUAGGCCGUGUCCUUACGGGAUCAAUAGGGACUGACGGGGUCGUACCUACUUCCGCGUCAGAGGUGAAAUUCUUAGAUCGCGGGAAGAGGAACUUCUGCGAAAGCAUUCGACAAGAAUGUCUUCAUUAAUCAAGAACGAGAGUGUGGGGAUCGAAGAUGAUCAGAUACCGUCGUAGUCCACACUGUAAACAAUGCCGUCUCAGGAUUGAGAAGUGAACAGAAUGACUUUCACAGCACUAACCCCUGAAACGAGAAAUCAAAGAUUAUGGGUUCAGGGGGGAGUACAUUCGCAAGGCUGAAACUUAAAGGAAUUGACGGAAUGACACCACAAGGCGUGGAGUAUGCGGCUUAAUUUGACUCAACACUGGG
This 698-nucleotide ribosomal RNA is filed under the name uncultured marine eukaryote. Its description in RNAcentral is "bacterial SSU rRNA". It matches the Rfam family "Eukaryotic small subunit ribosomal RNA", at positions 703 to 1210 of the family's 1831-position model. The record is from RNAcentral.